Molecule: microRNA precursor, 137 nt
Filed under: Onchocerca volvulus
Lineage: Eukaryota; Metazoa; Nematoda; Chromadorea; Rhabditida; Onchocercidae
Description: pre miRNA OVOC4040
Rfam family: let-7 microRNA precursor family (bases 38-115)
About the family: This family represents the microRNAs (miRNA) let-7 and mir-98. let-7 was identified from a study of developmental timing in C. elegans, and was later shown to be part of a much larger class of non-coding RNAs termed miRNAs.
Source: RNAcentral
AUGUUGCUGACAUAUUGCACCUGUCGAAUGGUUGCUUGCUCGAUGAGGUAGUAGGUUGUAUAGUUAUGAGUUGUAUCAUAUCGGAGAAACUGUCCAGCCUGCUAGCUUGCCGUGCGGGUCCAUCACCCGUCUUCGUA